AGCUGCUACGCUAAAUAUCUUCCCAAAGCACGCAGAACUUGAGAAGUACAGAAGCUUUUGGUCAUGCUCAGAGAAGCCAGAGACCACCAGGAAAAUGUCCACGCUGUCAGAAGCCUUUGCCUACGAGGACACUCAUCCCUCUCAGUGUGCAAUCAGGAAUCAGAGUCCCUGGCAAGCCCCUGCUCUCUUUCUGUUCCAGCAAAACCUCACCCAAAUCUGCAGAAGACUGGUAGUUCAUUUGAUGAACUUAAGUACUUAAAACGGAAAAAAAUAUCAACUCAUCAUUUUUAGGCCUUUGUGGAAUUCUCUGUACCACAUGGAAAUGAACUCUCUUAUCUGCUCGGAGACUGAUGUGAGAAAAAGCAAUAUCACCUCUGAAUAUAUUACCAGGAUAAAAUAGCUGCUUUCCAAGAGAGGGAGAAAAGGAUGAUGGUGGACGUGAUAUCCACAUGCCUGCAAAGCUCUGUGUUUCACUGAUAUCUUUAUUUCCACACCAAGCAGAAGGAUGAAUCUUCCAGUUUCUAAAAGAAGUGAUGCUGUGAAGUUGCUGGGAACAGGGUUUGGCACUAUUUUUUUCCCAUCAUUCUCUUAAAUAAGUCCCAAAGUCUUAUGCUUGCUUGUUAGGCUUAUAAAUACAGACUGCUUCCUUUUCCGCUCUGGCUGCUUUCCUCAGUAUUGGCUGGCUUCAAGGGAUGGGGAAGAAACAUGCUGACAAUGCUCACACUUUCUGUGAAUCUCUUUCAUUUAUUGUAGCCUUUAGCUCAUAUGAAUUCCAGCUUUGAGGCGUUUGCUUGUACAGCCGUCUUGUCACUGACAGUUUCUCCAGCUGCCCCAAAUCCUUUCCAGCUCCGCUCUAUUUUAAGGACCUGGCUGCACCACAUCUUCUGGGUAAAAAAAGAGAAACAAAAAUAAGUGUUUAUUUGCCAGUGUCUUCUGGAGAUGAAACAACUCAGCAGCUAACCCCUGCUGGGGAAAUAGUUGCCACAUUUGUUUAGUUCAGAAAGACCAAGCACCUUUCCUGUAUCGGGGACUGCAAGAGUUUCAUAAAUAGCUGCUUCAGUAUUUGUGCACCUAAUCCUUUCUAUGCAGAAGCCACUGGAGAUAGUAUACAUUUAUUAAUAAACCUAAUAGUAGGUGUCUAUAGGUGGAUGUUGACAUGUGGGUUUGAAGAGCUUGUUACAGGCAGUGGAGAUCUAGGCAAUGCAGGAGCCUGCAGAACAUUGCAGCUGGCCCAUGCUGGGAGGCUCAAAUGAGAUGCCCCCACCAAACCAUUUUGUGCUGAGCUGUAACUGAGGCAUUCACACCAGGAUGGCAGACAUGAGGCAGCACCUCCCAGAGGUCCAUAUCCUCCCAGAGCAGCAGUGAAGGGUCAGGAGGGAGAUGCUAGUGUGUCUCAGCACCAACUGCUCAUCUGUAGCAGCUCCCUAGUCCUCUGCUCUGAAAGGAGUUGAGUUUCCCUCUCACAAGUGUCUGACUCCAUUGAUUUGUCAUGUCAGCUUAAACACAUGGCUUGCCUGUGGACAAUCACAAAUAGUGCAUCUGUCUUUAGGUAUCAUAAUCUGGACCUGAAUUUCUCCACAAGACUUACUGCUGGGCCCUCGCUUUUACUGCUUUGUACCAUACUGGGGUUACACCAGUGGGUUCUGGAGAGCUCCUGGAGUAGGUGUCACAACAAGGCACUGCAUUCUCCAAGAAGGCUGGAAAUAUGCAGUCAAGGAGCUUGUGAAACAUGCAGAUUUAGAGCGCCCUGAGUGCAUGCACUGGAAUACAAUCAGGCCUUAAGGCAACUGAGCAUACAUAGGGCAUGGGCAAAUGAACACAGACAGAGCACUGGCUAAUGCAAGUUAGAGCCAUCCUUAAGGCAAGUUAUUCCCAAAUAUUUAUUGGGACUGAAAAGCCACUUUUCACUGUUGUUGGUUUUUUUUUUUUUGCCAUAUGACUCCUCAGACCCUGUACCAACUAUAGAUUGCAGGAUCCAAAGACUAGGCUAUUAUUCUUCAGUGAAUCUUAUAAUAGAAA
This is a long non-coding RNA of Catharus ustulatus (Swainson's thrush), 2019 nucleotides long. RefSeq lists it as uncharacterized. The record is from RefSeq and is a predicted model, not a curated record. The transcript has 3 exons. NCBI's taxonomy places the organism in Eukaryota, Metazoa, Chordata, Aves, Passeriformes, Turdidae.